RNAcentral lists this ribosomal RNA (928 nucleotides) under uncultured organism. Its description in RNAcentral is "bacterial SSU rRNA". It matches the Rfam family "Bacterial small subunit ribosomal RNA", at positions 481 to 1408 of the family's 1533-position model. The record is from RNAcentral.
CAUGAAUAAGCAUCGGCUAACUCCGUGCCAGCAGCCGCGGUAAUACGUGAGGAUGCAGGCGUUAUCCGGAUUUAUUAGGUUUAAGAGGGUUGUUCAGGCUGCCUGGUAAGUCAGGGGUGAAAGUCGGUUGCUCAACGAUCGAAUUGCCUUUGAAACUGUCAGUGCUCGAGUAUGGAUCCGGUAGUCGGAAUGUGUAGUGUACCGGUGAUAUGCAUAGAUAUUACACAGAACACCGAUUGCGAAGGCAGCUUACCAAACCAGCACUGACGCUGAAGCACGAAAGCGUGGGGAGCGAACAGGAUUAGAUACCCUGGUAGUCCACGCCGUAAACUUUGCUCACUCGCUGUUGGCGAUAGACAGUCAGCGGCCAAGGGAAACCGAUAAGUGAGCCACCUGGGGAGUACGGCCGCAAGGUUGAAACUCAAAGGAAUUGACGGGGGCCCGCACAAGCGGUGGAACAUGUGGUUUAACUCGAUGAUACGCGAGGAACCUUACCUGGGCUUAAAUGUGAAGUGCAUUGAUUGGAAACAAUCAUUUCCUUCGGGACCCUUUACAAGGUGCUGCAUGGUUGUCGUCAGCUCGUGCCGUGAGGUGUCGGGUUAAGUCCCAUAACGAGCGCAACCCCUAUUGUUAGUUACCAGCGCGUAAAGGCGGGGACUCUAGCGAAACUGCCGGUGUAAACCGCGAGGAAGGUGGGGAUGACGUCAAAUCAGCACGGCCCUUAUGUCCAGGGCUACACACGUGUUACAAUGGCCGGUACAGCGGGCAGCUAGGCAGCGAUGUCAUGCUAAUCCCGAAAGCCGGUCCCAGUUCGGAUUGGAGUCUGCAACCCGACUCCAUGAAGGUGGUAUCGCUAGUAAUCGCGCAUCACCCAUGGCGCGGUGUAUACGUUCCCGGGCCUUGUACACACCGCCCGUCAAGCCAUGGA